RNAcentral lists this ribosomal RNA (466 nucleotides) under uncultured bacterium. RNAcentral's name for it is "partial 16S ribosomal RNA". It matches the Rfam family "Bacterial small subunit ribosomal RNA", at positions 28 to 507 of the family's 1533-position model. The record is from RNAcentral.
GAUGAACGCUGGCGGCGUGCUUAACACAUGCAAGUCGAACGAUGAAGCCCAGCUUGCUGGGUGGAUUAGUGGCGAACGGGUGAGUAACACGUGAGUAACCUGCCCUUAACUCUGGGAUAAGCCUGGGAAACUGGGUCUAAUACCGGAUAGGAGCGCCUACCGCAUGGUGGGUGUUGGAAAGAUUUAUCGGUUUUGGAUGGACUCGCGGCCUAUCAGCUCGUUGGUGAGGUAAUGGCUCACCAAGGCGACGACGGGUAGCCGGCCUGAGAGGGUGACCGGCCACACUGGGACUGAGACACGGCCCAGACUCCUACGGGAGGCAGCAGUGGGGAAUAUUGCACAAUGGGCGAAAGCCUGAUGCAGCGACGCCGCGUGAGGGAUGACGGCCUUCGGGUUGUAAACCUCUUUCAGUAGGGAAGAAGCGAAAGUGACGGUACCUGCAGAAGAAGCACCGGCUAACUACGUG